Molecule: ribosomal RNA, 697 nt
Filed under: Shigella flexneri
Lineage: Bacteria; Pseudomonadati; Pseudomonadota; Gammaproteobacteria; Enterobacterales; Enterobacteriaceae
Description: partial 23S ribosomal RNA
Rfam family: Bacterial large subunit ribosomal RNA
Source: RNAcentral
GUUAAGCGACUAAGCGUACACGGUGGAUGCCCUGGCAGUCAGAGGCGAUGAAGGACGUGCUAAUCUGCGAUAAGCGUCGGUAAGGUGAUAUGAACCGUUAUAACCGGCGAUUUCCGAAUGGGGAAACCCAGUGUGAUUCGUCACACUAUCAUUAACUGAAUCCAUAGGUUAAUGAGGCGAACCGGGGGAACUGAAACAUCUAAGUACCCCGAGGAAAAGAAAUCAACCGAGAUUCCCCCAGUAGCGGCGAGCGAACGGGGAGCAGCCCAGAGCCUGAAUCAGUGUGUGUGUUAGUGGAAGCGUCUGGAAAGGCGUGCGAUACAGGGUGACAGCCCCGUACACAAAAAUGCACAUACUGUGAGCUCGAUGAGUAGGGCGGGACACGUGGUAUCCUGUCUGAAUAUGGGGGGACCAUCCUCCAAGGCUAAAUACUCCUGACUGACCGAUAGUGAACCAGUACCGUGAGGGAAAGGCGAAAAGAACCCCGGCGAGGGGAGUGAAAAAGAACCUGAAACCGUGUACGUACAAGCAGUGGGAGCGCGCUUAGGCGUGUGACUGCGUACCUUUUGUAUAAUGGGUCAGCGACUUAUAUUCUGUAGCAAGGUUAACCGAAUAGGGGAGCCGAAGGGAAACCGAGUCUUAACUGGGCGUUAAGUUGCAGGGUAUAGACCCGAAACCCGGUGAUCUAGCCAUGGGC